UACGGAGGGUGCAAGCGUUAUCCGGAAUCACUGGGCGUAAAGGGCGCGUAGGCGGUCUCGUAAGUCCGAUGUUAAAGACCGGGGCUCAACCCCGACACGGCGUUGGAUACUGCUAGGCUUGACGGCUGGAGAGGCGAGUGGAAUUACCAGUGUAGCGGUGGAAUGCGUAGAUACUGGUAGGAACACCCAUUGCGAAGGCAGCUCGCUGGACAGCACGUGACGCUGAGGCGCGAAAGUGUGGGGAG
This 245-nucleotide ribosomal RNA is filed under the name uncultured Truepera sp. Its description in RNAcentral is "partial 16S ribosomal RNA". It matches the Rfam family "Bacterial small subunit ribosomal RNA", at positions 524 to 768 of the family's 1533-position model. The record is from RNAcentral. Lineage: Bacteria; Thermotogati; Deinococcota; Deinococci; Trueperales; Trueperaceae.